GGCCAGUGUGGUGUAAUGGUUUGAGCACUGGACUAGAAUACUGGGAGACCAGGGUUCGAAUCCCGGCUUGGCCA
Molecule: non-coding RNA, 74 nt
Organism: Phrynosoma platyrhinos (Desert horned lizard)
Lineage: Eukaryota; Metazoa; Chordata; Lepidosauria; Squamata; Phrynosomatidae
Source: the annotation of a GenBank genome assembly